Molecule: ribosomal RNA, 450 nt
Filed under: uncultured bacterium
Lineage: Bacteria
Description: partial 16S ribosomal RNA
Rfam family: Bacterial small subunit ribosomal RNA
Source: RNAcentral
GUGGGGAAUCUUCCGCAAUGGACGAAAGUCUGACGGAGCAACGCCGCGUGAGUGAUGACGGCCUUCGGGUUGUAAAGCUCUGUGAUCGGGGACGAAUGGCUGGUAUGCUAAUACCAUAUCAGAGUGACGGUACCCGAAUAGCAAGCCACGGCUAACUACGUGCCAGCAGCCGCGGUAAUACGUAGGUGGCAAGCGUUGUCCGGAAUUAUUGGGCGUAAAGCGCGCGCAGGCGGCUUCUUAAGUCCAUCUUAAAAGUGCGGGGCUUAAACCCGUAAUGAGAUGGAAACUGGGAGGCUGGAGUAUCGGAGAGGAAAGUGGAAUUCCUAGUGUAGCGGUGAAAUGCGUAGAGAUUAGGAAGAACACCGGUGGCGAAGGCGACUUUCUGGACGACAACUGACGCUGAGGCGCGAAAGCGUGGGGAGCAAACAGGAUUAGAAACCCGGGUAGUCC